AUCCAGAUGACGAGUCCCAAAUAGGACGAAACACGCGUCCUUGAU
Molecule: non-coding RNA, 45 nt
Filed under: Schistosoma margrebowiei
Lineage: Eukaryota; Metazoa; Platyhelminthes; Trematoda; Strigeidida; Schistosomatidae
Source: RNAcentral